RNAcentral lists this ribosomal RNA (505 nucleotides) under uncultured bacterium. Its description in RNAcentral is "partial 16S ribosomal RNA". It matches the Rfam family "Bacterial small subunit ribosomal RNA", at positions 28 to 507 of the family's 1533-position model. The record is from RNAcentral.
GACGAACGCUGGCGGCGUGCCUAAUACAUGCAAGUAGAACGCACAGUUUAUACCGUAGCUUGCUACACCAUAGACUGUGAGUUGCGAACGGGUGAGUAACGCGUAGGUAACCUGCCUGGUAGCGGGGGAUAACUAUUGGAAACGAUAGCUAAUACCGCAUAAUAUUGAUUAUUGCAUGAUAAUUAAUUGAAAGGUGCAAUUGCACCACUACCAGAUGGACCUGCGUUGUAUUAGCUAGUAGGUGAGGUAACGGCUCACCUAGGCGACGAUACAUAGCCGACCUGAGAGGGUGAUCGGCCACACUGGGACUGGGACACGGCCCAGACUCCUACGGGAGGCAGCAGGAGGGAAUCUUCGGCAAUGGACGAAAGUCUGACCGAGCAACGCCGCGUGAGUGAAGAAGGUUUUCGGAUCGUAAAGCUCUGUUGUAAGAGAAGAACGGGUGUGAGAGUGGAAAGUUCACACUGUGACGGUAUCUUACCAGAAAGGGACGGCUAACUACGUG